This 292-nucleotide ribosomal RNA is filed under the name uncultured bacterium. Its description in RNAcentral is "partial 16S ribosomal RNA". It matches the Rfam family "Bacterial small subunit ribosomal RNA", at positions 505 to 796 of the family's 1533-position model. The record is from RNAcentral.
GUGCCAGCAGCCGCGGUAAAACGUAGGACACGAGCGUUAUCCGGAGUUACUGGGCGUAAAGGGCGUGCAGGCGGUCACAUAAGUCUGAUGUGAAAGCGCCCGGCUUAACCGGGCGAGGACAUUGGAGACUGUGUAACUAGAGGCAGAUAGAGGGGUGUAGAAUUCCGGGUGUAGUGGUGAAAUGCGUAGAGAUCCGGAGGAAUACCAGAGGCGAAGGCGGCACCCUGGGUCUGACCUGACGCUGAGACGCGACAGCAUGGGGAGCGAACGGGAUUAGAAACCCCCGUAGUCC